This 379-nucleotide ribosomal RNA is filed under the name uncultured eukaryote. RNAcentral describes it as "partial 18S ribosomal RNA". It matches the Rfam family "Eukaryotic small subunit ribosomal RNA", at positions 592 to 975 of the family's 1831-position model. The record is from RNAcentral.
CAAUAGCGUAUAUUAAAGUUGUUGCGGUUAAAAAGCUCGUAGUUGGAUUUCUGCCGAGGACGACCGGUCCGCCCUCCGGGUGAGUAUCUGGCUCGGCCUGGGCAUCUUCUUGGAGAACGUAACUGCACUUGGCUGUGUGGUGCGGUAUUCAGGACUUUUACUUUGAGGAAAUUAGAGUGUUUCAAGCAGGCACACGCCUUGAAUACAUUAGCAUGGAAUAAUAAGAUAGGACCUUGGUUCUAUUUUGUUGGUUUCUAGAGCUGAGGUAAUGAUUAAUAGGGAUAGUUGGGGGCAUUCGUAUUUAACUGUCAGAGGUGAAAUUCUUGGAUUUGUUUAAGACGGACUACUGCGAAAGCAUUUGCCAAGGAUGUUUUCAUUG